Molecule: unclassified non-coding RNA, 219 nt
Filed under: plant metagenome
Description: partial contains small subunit ribosomal RNA, internal transcribed spacer 1, and 5.8S ribosomal RNA
Source: RNAcentral
UUUCCGUAGGUGAACCUGCGGAAGGAUCAUUACAGAGUUCAUGCCCUCACGGGUAGAUCUCCCACCCUUGAAUAUUUAUACCUUAGUUGCUUUGGCAGGCCGUGGAAACACCAUGGGCUCCGGCUUAUGCGUGCCUGCCAGAGGAAACAAACUCUGUUUUAGUGAUGUCUGAGUACUAUUUAAUAGUUAAAACUUUCAACAACGGAUCUCUUGGUUCUG